UGUGUAGGCGGUUGGAUAAGUGUGGUGUGAAAUCUCCCGGCUUAACUGGGAGGGUGCGCUACAAACUGUCUGACUAGAGUGUGGGAUGGGAGAGUGGAAUUCCUGGUGUAGCGGUGAAAUGCGUAGAUAUCAGGAGGAACACCGGUGGUGUAGACGGCUCUCUGGACCAUAACUGACGCUGAGACACGAAAGCGUGGGUAGCAAACA
Molecule: ribosomal RNA, 207 nt
Filed under: uncultured bacterium
Lineage: Bacteria
Description: partial 16S ribosomal RNA
Rfam family: Bacterial small subunit ribosomal RNA
Source: RNAcentral